CCGGUCAUGGAUGAAAAUACGAUUUUGUCCCUGCUUCAUCUCUGUUGCCCGACACCUGUCUACCGUCUCAAAACUCCCGCGUCUUUCUUCUCGACACCUGGUCUGCUGCUCAGUCCUAUCGUGUCUUCGCUACUUCGCUGGACAGAGAGGUGGAGAAAGAGAGAGAGAUAGCGAAGGAGGUGGUACUGUUUGUUGGCAUCUACGAUUCGGAUUCAAUCUUCCCUGUGUAAAUCUGGAAGUCUCUAUCUACACGGAGAGAGGCGUCUAUCUACAGUAAUAUUUGCUGAGCCAGAUUAUCGGGUUUACUGAUUGAUCAAAGCUGGAUAGAGUUUGGGUUCUUCUUGAUUCAUCGAGAAGAAAGCGGACAGUUCAGCGAAAGAGCCCGGUUUCAAUCCCAGUGGCUGCUCUUGACCUUGAUAAUGAAGAAACUACAAAAGAAGAGAGUGAGAAAGAGAAGGUAGAGCCUGAAAUUGUUGUUGUGAAUGAAGAAAAGAAAACAUGAGAAGAUGAGAAGAAGGGUGAGAGGUCUGGUGCUUCGUGCUCAAGCUUGAAUUUUCCUUGCAUGGAUAAGCUCAGGGAUGAGCUUUCGCUUUCUUGAGAGAAAUGAGGUUGGGUACUUGCAUCUGAGGAUUCUCGGCAACAUUGGAAUGGUUUCAAGGUGGAGAGAUUCCUCCUGAGAUCGGAAAGAUGGGUAGCUUGGAAGCCUGGGCAUUUCCAACGCAAUGAUCUGACAUAGUAUCCGCCUUUUAGAUAUGCCUGCAAUAUGCUUCGACAAGGAAUGAAACAAAUAAUAAUGAACUCAGAAACCCUUGAAGCUAAAGCGUUGGAGAAGGUGGAGGAUAAGUCCAAAUGAGAACUCUGAGGCGUUGGCUUUUAUCACUGAUUAGAGUUCACUCGGUUACACUUUAGAGGCAUAAGCGAUGGAGGAGGUUUCAGAGAAUCUUCAGAAACAAUUGAACAAGUCAGUGCUCGAUGAUGAAAUUAAACAUCUCCUGUAAAAGAUAUCGUAAACAGACACAGCAAGGUGCUCCGAUAGGGGAAACUGAAGCAUAUGAGAAGCAUAGAUAUCAACUCCAACUCGAGGAGGCCAUUAGUAACAAUGGCAACAAAACUUGCGCAUUCUUAGCUUACAAGCAGACCAGUGAUUGAGCAAAGGAGAAGAGGAAGACUUUGGGCUUGGGUUUGUCAGUCAUGGUAUACAGAAUUUCGUGGAGCAGUUCCUACUAGACUUGCACAGGACUUGGCAUUUUCAGUUGCAAGGUUUAUACAAAAUGGUGGUUCUUUUGCCAACUACUACAUGUACCAUGGAGGAACGAAUUUUGGCCGAACAGCUGGCGGUCCCUUCAUUGCAACUAGCUAUGACUAUGAUGCACCUCUAGAUGAAUAUGGACUACCAGGGAACCAAAAUAUAGCCAUUUGAAAUAUCUGCACAAAGCCAUCAAAUUAGAAGGGCGUGGAUCAGCAGAGGAAGGCGGUACAGCUAUUACAUCGUUGGGAUCAUCACGGGGAGAAGGGAAGAGCUUGGUUUCUUCUUUCUGUGGAUUGUGAAAGCUUUGACAUCGAAGCAGACUGGUGAUUGAGCAAAGGAGAAAAGAACGGCUUUGGAUCUGGGUUUGUGAUUGAAAUUAUGUGCCUGUUAAUUCAGACGUUGAAUCGAUCAGUACCUCAACGUGACAUGAGCGUCAAAGCGUUCAUCAUUAGCAAGCAAACAAACCCGCGGCAUCGCGCGGGAGGAAUUGCCUAGUAAUAAACGAGGAGCUAGUAUUUAAUUUAUUUUAUUUUAUUCAGUUACACAGGUCAAGCCCCACGGUGCCCUAGCCUCUCCGGCUCUCCGGCAUCCCAUUAGCCGGUCAGAGUUGGCCACAGCAAACUGCAGGUGCCAAAUGUCAUCGCCUUGGUGGUCAGUGAGAGAUGAGAGAACAGAAAAGUUCGGAUAUUAAAAAGUUAUAAACGUCUCCUAACAUUCUGCCCCCAUGUAAUAUUUGGAAAGAUCGGCAAAGCAGGGAAUGGAAACACAAUUUUUUUUUUU
Rosa rugosa (rugosa rose) is the source of this 2029-nucleotide long non-coding RNA. RefSeq lists it as uncharacterized. NCBI's taxonomy places the organism in Eukaryota, Viridiplantae, Streptophyta, Magnoliopsida, Rosales, Rosaceae. The transcript is spliced from 15 exons. The record is from RefSeq and is a predicted model, not a curated record.